RNAcentral lists this ribosomal RNA (235 nucleotides) under uncultured Acanthamoeba. RNAcentral's name for it is "partial 18S ribosomal RNA". It matches the Rfam family "Eukaryotic small subunit ribosomal RNA", at positions 97 to 279 of the family's 1831-position model. Lineage: Eukaryota; Discosea; Longamoebia; Acanthamoebidae. The record is from RNAcentral.
CUCAUUAAAUCAGUUAUAGUUUAUUUGAUGGUCUCUUUUGUCUUUUUUUACCUACUUGGAUAACCGUGGUAAUUCUAGAGCUAAUACAUGCGCAAGGUCCCGAGCGCGGGGGGCGGGGCUUCACGGCCUCGUCCUCGCAUGCGCAGAGGGAUGUAUUUAUUAGGUUAAAAACCAGCAGCCGGCAACGGCUUCAACUCCUGGUGAUUCAUAGUAACUCUUUCGGAUCGCAUUCAUG